UGCUUAACACAUGCAAGUCGAACGAGAAAGUGGGCUUCGGUCCGCGAGUAGAGUGGCGCACGGGUGCGUAACACGUGGGUAAUCUACCCCUUAAAUUGGGAUAACAUUGCGAAAGUGAUGCUAAUACCGAAUGACAUCCAAAUGUUUUUGGACAUAUGGAUCAAAGAUGGCCUCUCCUUGGAAGCUAUCGUUGAGGGAUGAGCCUGCGUACCUUUAGCUAGUUGGUAGGGUAAUGGCCUACCAAGGCUAUGAUGGUUAGCUGGUCUGAGAGGAUGAUCAGCCACACUGGAACUGACACACGGUCCAGACUCCUACGGGAGGCAGCAGUGAGGAAUUUUGCGCAAUGGGGGCAACCCUGACGCAGCAACGCCGCGUGAGUGAUGAAGGCCUUUGGGUCGUAAAACUCUGUCAGCAGGAAAGAAGUUAUAGGUGGCUAAUAUCCAUUUAUAUUGACGGUACCUGCAAAGGAAGCACCGGCUAACUCCGUGCCAGCAGCCGCGGUAACACGGGGGGUGCAAGCGUUAUUCGGAAUUAUUGGGCGUAAAGGGCGCGUAGGCGGCUGAUCAGGUCAGAUGUGAAAGCCCGGGGCUUAACCCCGGAAGUGCAUUUGAAACCGGUCAGCUUGAGUAUGGGAGAGGAAAGUGGAAUUCCUGGUGUAGAGGUGAAAUU
This 669-nucleotide ribosomal RNA is filed under the name uncultured bacterium. RNAcentral's name for it is "bacterial SSU rRNA". It matches the Rfam family "Bacterial small subunit ribosomal RNA", at positions 45 to 688 of the family's 1533-position model. The record is from RNAcentral.